RNAcentral lists this unclassified non-coding RNA (24 nucleotides) under Arabidopsis thaliana (thale cress). The record is from RNAcentral. Lineage: Eukaryota; Viridiplantae; Streptophyta; Magnoliopsida; Brassicales; Brassicaceae.
CAUUUAUAUCAGUUAACAAUGCAA